AACUUUCAACAACGGAUCUCUUGGUUCUGGCAUCGAUGAAAAACGCAGCAAAAUGCGAUAAGUAAUGUGAAUUGCAGAAUUCAGUGAAUCAUCGAAUCUUUGAACGCACAUUGCGCCCCUUGGUAUUCCGAGGGGCAUGCCUGUUCGAGCGUCW
This 154-nucleotide ribosomal RNA is filed under the name uncultured fungus. RNAcentral describes it as "5.8S ribosomal RNA". It matches the Rfam family "5.8S ribosomal RNA". Rfam says of the family: 5.8S ribosomal RNA (5.8S rRNA) is a component of the large subunit of the eukaryotic ribosome. It is transcribed by RNA polymerase I as part of the 45S precursor that also contains 18S and 28S rRNA. The record is from RNAcentral. Lineage: Eukaryota; Fungi.